RNAcentral lists this ribosomal RNA (482 nucleotides) under uncultured bacterium. Its description in RNAcentral is "partial 16S ribosomal RNA". It matches the Rfam family "Bacterial small subunit ribosomal RNA", at positions 30 to 507 of the family's 1533-position model. The record is from RNAcentral.
AUUGAACGCUGGCGGCAUGCCUUACACAUGCAAGUCGAACGGUAACAGGUCUUCGGAUGCUGACGAGUGGCAAACGGGUGAGUAAUACAUCGGAACGUGCCCGAUCGUGGGGGAUAACGAGGCGAAAGCUUUGCUAAUACCGCAUACGAUCUACGGAUGAAAGCGGGGGAUCUUCGGACCUCGCGCGGACGGAGCGGCCGAUGGCAGAUUAGGUAGUUGGUGGGAUAAAAGCUUACCAAGCCGACGAUCUGUAGCUGGUCUGAGAGGAUGAUCAGCCACACUGGGACUGAGACACGGCCCAGACUCCUACGGGAGGCAGCAGUGGGGAAUUUUGGACAAAGGGCGAAAGCCUGAUCCAGCCAUGCCGCGUGCAGGAUGAAGGCCUUCGGGUUGUAAACUGCUUUUGUACGGAACGAAAAGCCUCUUUCUAAUAAAGAGGGGUCAUGACGGUACCGUAAGAAUAAGCACCGGCUAACUACGUG